GAUCAUGGCUCAGGAUGAACGCUAGCGGCNGGCUUAAUACAUGCAAGUCNAGGGGCAACAGCUUUAUAGCAAUAUAUAGGCUGGCGACCGGCAAACGGGGGCGGAACACCUACACAACCUUCCUUUAAGUGGGGGAUAGCCCAUAGAAAUGUGGAUUAAUACCCCGUAAUAUUAUUGAAGUGGCAUCACUUUAUAAUUAUAGUUUCGACGCUUGAAGAUGGGUGUGCGGCUGAUUAGGUANUUGGCGGGGUAAAGGCCCACCAAGCCUUCCAUCAGUAGCUGAUGUGAGAGCAUGAUCAGCCACACGGGCACUGAGACACGGGCCCGACUCCUACGGGAGGCAGCAGUAAGGAAUAUUGGUCAAUGGACGCAAGUCUGAACCAGCCAUGCCGCGUGAAUGAUGAAGGUCCUCUGGAUUGGAAACUUCUUUUAUAGGGCGCGAAAAAAGGGAAUUCUUUCUCACUUGACAGUACCCUAUGAAUAAGCACCGGCUAACUCCUGCCAGCAACCGCGGUAAACGGAGGGCAAGCGUUAUCCGGAUUCACUGGGUUAAAGGGUGCGUAGCGGA
Molecule: ribosomal RNA, 568 nt
Filed under: uncultured bacterium
Lineage: Bacteria
Description: bacterial SSU rRNA
Rfam family: Bacterial small subunit ribosomal RNA
Source: RNAcentral